Molecule: ribosomal RNA, 253 nt
Filed under: uncultured bacterium
Lineage: Bacteria
Description: partial 16S ribosomal RNA
Rfam family: Bacterial small subunit ribosomal RNA
Source: RNAcentral
UACGUAGGGGGCAAGCGUUGUCCGGAAUCAUUGGGCGUAAAGAGCGUGUAGGCGGCCCGAUAAGUCCGCUGUGAAAGUCCAGGGCUCAACCCUGGAAUGCCGGUGGAUACUGUCGGGCUCGAAUCCGGAAGAGGUGAGUGGAAUUCCUGGUGUAGCGGUGAAAUGCGCAGAUAUCAGGAGGAACACCAAUGGCGAAGGCAGCUCACUGGGACGGUAUUGACGCUGAGACGCGAAAGCGUUGGGAGCAAACAGG